Molecule: long non-coding RNA, 211 nt
Filed under: Nicotiana benthamiana
Lineage: Eukaryota; Viridiplantae; Streptophyta; Magnoliopsida; Solanales; Solanaceae
Description: long non-coding RNA (NBEN_LNC000343)
Source: RNAcentral
UUCAAUACGAGAGGGACCAAAUAAAUCCAUGUGAAGUAAUUGCAAAGGUCUAGACGUUGAAAAAAUAUUCUUGGAUUUAAAAGAUGCUUUGGUUUGCUUCCCUUUUUGACAAGAUUCGCAAAUAGAGUCAUUUUCAAACUUUAAACUAGGAAGACCAACUACUAAGUUUUUAGAAAGAAGCUUGUUCAAAAGAUGCAUGUUCAUGUGUGCU